Molecule: ribosomal RNA, 1417 nt
Filed under: uncultured Methanosaeta sp.
Lineage: Archaea; Methanobacteriati; Methanobacteriota; Methanomicrobia; Methanotrichales; Methanotrichaceae
Description: bacterial SSU rRNA
Rfam family: Archaeal small subunit ribosomal RNA
Source: RNAcentral
UCCGGUUGAUCCUGCCAGAGGUCACUGCUAUCGGGGUUCGAUUAAGCCAUGCGAGUCGAGAGGGUUCGGCUCGGCGUACUACUCAGUAACACGUGGAUAACCUGCCCUAAGGAAGGGGAUAACCUCGGGAAACUGAGGAUAAUACCCUAUAGGUUACAGACGCUGGAAUGCCCUGUAACCGAAAGCUCCGGCGCCUUAGGAUGGAUCUGCGGCCGAUUAGUUGUUGUUGGGGUAACGGCCCAACAAGCCGAUAAUCGGUACGGGUUGUGGGAGCAAGAGCCCGGAGUUGGAUUCUGAGACAUGAAUCCAGGCCCUACGGGGUGCAGCAGGCGCGAAAACUUUACAAUGCGGGAAACCGUGAUAAGGGGAUCUCGAGUGCCAGCAUAUAAUGUUGGCUGUCCAGAUGCCUAAAAAGCAUUGUUAGCAAGGGCCGGGCAAGACCGGUGCCAGCCGCCGCGGUAACACCGGCGGCCCGAGUGGUAACCGCUAUUAUUGGGUCUAAAGGGUCUGUAGCCGGCCAGGUAAGUCCCUUGGGAAAUCUGGCAGCUCAACUGUCAGGCUGCUAGGGGAUACUGUUUGGCUUGGGACCGGGAGAGGUGAGAGGUACCUUGGGGGUAGGGGUGAAAUCUUGUGAUCCUCGAGGGACCACCAGUGGCGAAGGCGUCUCACCAGAACGGGUCCGACGGUAAGGGACGAAAGCUAGGGGCACGAACCGGAUUAGAUACCCGGGUAGUCCUAGCCGUAAACGAUGCUCGCUAGGUGUCAGUCACGGUGCGACCGUGAUUGGUGCCGUAGGGAAGCCGUGAAGCGAGCCACCUGGGAAGUAUGGCCGCAAGGCUGAAACUUAAAGGAAUUGGCGGGGGAGCACUACAACGGGUGGAGCCUGCGGUUUAAUUGGAUUCAACGCCGGAAAUCUCACCGGGGGCGACAGCGAUAUGAAGGUCAGGCUGAAGACUUUACCGGAUUAGCUGAGAGGUGGUGCAUGGCCGUCGUCAGUUCGUACUGUGAAGCAUCCUGUUAAGUCAGGCAACGAGCGAGACCCACAUCCACAGUUGCCAGCAUAUUCUCCGGAAUGAUGGGUACACUGUGGAGACCGCCGCUGCUAAAGCGGAGGAAGGAGUGGGCAACGGUAGGUCAGUAUGCCCCGAAUCUCCCGGGCUACACGCGGGCUACAAUGGUUGGUACAAUGGGCAUCUACCCCGAAAGGGGAAGGAAAUCUCUUAAAACCAAUCGUAGUUCGGAUUGAGGGCUGCAACUCGCCCUCACGAAGCUGGAAUCCGUAGUAAUCGCGUUUCAACAGAACGCGGUGAAUACGUCCCUGCUCCUUGCACACACCGCCCGUCAAACCACCCGAGUAGGGUCUGGAUGAGGGUGUGUUUUAUUGACACAUUCGAAUCUGGGCUUUGCAAGGGGGGUU